Long non-coding RNA from Orcinus orca (killer whale), 8885 nucleotides. RefSeq lists it as uncharacterized. Lineage: Eukaryota; Metazoa; Chordata; Mammalia; Artiodactyla; Delphinidae. The transcript has 3 exons. The record is from RefSeq and is a predicted model, not a curated record.
CCAGUAUUCACUGCCUUCAGAAUCUGGCAUAAGGAAACUGCAUACAGCACUAUGAAAUUACUGUAGUAAUGUGAGCAUGUGCUCUGACACCAGAUACCUAAAGUAGAAUCCUGGCUUCACACUAGUUGCCUCACCUACAGCAAGUUGCCUAAACUCUUUAUGGCUCUGUUUUCUCAGAAGGGUUUAGAGGGAGAAGGUGAUUCUGAUAUAGAAAUAGAACUAUGAGGGGGAUGGUUUUUCUACAAGCUUCCCAAGAUGAUUCUGAUAUGGCCCGUCCAUUUGUUACCAGCUGCCUUGGAGAACUAAAUACCAAAUCCUCCACCGGGAGCAGCGACAAAUGGGAGACAGCGUGCAGCAAAGAAUGAGAUCACGGAGCCUGGUUAUGUGGACUCCAUUCUGAAGCCCGUUUACUGUGUGGAGUGAACACAGUUCAUGCCUGGUCUGUUAUUCCACCAGCCAGGUAAAACAAAGAAUAUCUCUCCCUCUGUUUUUCUGUCUCUGCCUCUCUUUCAUACACACACAUCCCUAAAACUGUAUUCUAACUUCUUAAAAAAGGGACAUUUGCCAGUCUUUUAAAAUAAGCCAACUCCCUUUUUUUCAGUAUGAGACUUAAAAUUUCCAGUUUUUCUUUAGAGUCGAACACAAAUUUUAAAACACUUUUGAAGUAAUUUGGGAGCAGAAUCCUAGAUUUUCAAUUUUCCACUGUUGCAUGGUUGAUUCAUCCAUAAUUUGACAAUUUUUAGUAAGUUGCCUUUACUGAGAGCAUUCAUGUAGGUUUUCAAAAAAUUGAUUCCCUGUCUUUUCACAUUUAUAAUUCAUUGGUUUACUUAUUAUUUUAAAAUUUAAGGAUUUAUUGUUAUUAACCCCUUAAUUUCUAAACUCUGAUUACAGAAUUUAGUGACAGGCUUCAAGAGGUCUCUGAAAGCUGAAUUUUUAGUAUAUGUGGUUAUUUUUCUUCAGAGGGUCCAUAGGCUUCAUCAGAUUCUCAAAUGUAUUUUUUUAAUUGAAGUACAAUGUUAUUUUAAUUACUGCUGUACAGCAAAGUCAGUUGUGUGUGUGUAUAUAUAUAUAUAUAUACACACACACACACACACACAUACACAUUCUUUUUUUAUAUUCUUUCCCAUUAUGGUUUAUCAUAGGAUAUUGAAUAUAAUUCCCUGUGCUAGACAGUAGGACCUUGUUGUUUAUCCAUUCUGUAUGUAAUAGUUUGCAUCUGCUAAUCCCAAACUCCCACUCCAUCCCUCCCCCAACCCCCUCCCCCUCAGCAACCACCACUCUGUUCUCUAUGUCUGUGAUUCUGUUUCUGUUUCAUAGACAGGUUCAUUUGUGUCAUAUUUUAGAUUCCAUAUGUGAUAUCAUACAUUUGUCUUUCUCUUUCUGACUUACUUCACUUAGCAUGAUAAUCUCUAGUUGCAUCGGCUUACCAAAUAUUAAAUGAUGUCAUUACAAUAGGUACAACUUGAAUCCACAGGUUUGGGGACAGGUUCUGUAAAUGCAACUCAACUGGGGAGAAUGAAGCAGAUGAGUACAGGGUACUGGGCCAGAGCCCCCCAGUCUCAGUGCUCAGCGUGCUUUACAGGCAGAAGUCAGUACAUUUUACAGAUAGAAUGGAGGGUGCUGUUAAAUGGAAAUUGGAGGGCAGAAUGUCAGUAGACGUUCAUUGCCAACUAACUUUCAGAGAAAAAUCACAUUUGCAGGUCUUAGUUUUGCCAGCAGGUGGCAGAUGCGGCUCAUGAGCUGGUUUGGGGCAAGGACUUGGCCAGAAGCUGAGCUUUGCCACUAUUAAUGGCUAAGAGAAGACAGCCUCCCUUUCAUCAUGUGAAACCCCUUUGGUCUUUUCUGCUCUUUUGAUAGCCUGGCAGCAUUUUCUCUCUAGGUCAAAGUCGGCAGAAUUUCAGGGCUGUGGUGAGGGAACUCAGGACCAUAAAAUACACUGGGGUUCCCACCAAUCUCCUCCUAGCCUCAGUUUCUCCUCUGAAUGGGGAGCAUGCAGCUAAUUCCUUUGUUACUGAGUUGUUGUGAGGAAUCAGUCACUUCGUAUUAUUUUCUUUCUCCUUGAACAGAGGAAGGCAAUAUUUCACCUUCUGGGAAAGCUAGUCACCCAGCAUCCAGUGCUGUGAUGGCACUGGUCCUGGGAGCAGAUGCAGGUAGUGCUCUCCACUCGUCCCACCCCUCAGAGCUCUGCAAGAGAACUCGGACUGCUGAUGCUGCUGAAGGCCCUCGGCAGCCACUUGUCCUCUUGGCUGGUGAGGCCAAAAGUGACCCAGCAGCAGACCAGUCAUUGGCCUGCCUCACCACUGUUAGAGUUACUAGUUGGCCUGGGCCUGUAGGCUUGCACCUUAGAGUGCAGAGCCAGCACUUCUGGGAGCACUGAGACCCUGGCAUUUAGAGGAUUGCUAUCACAUGAUAGUUUAUACCUGACUCGAGGUAGGUGGGUGGUUGGGCCUGAAUGACUUCUCCAGAGACGAUAGUCGGAAAUUGGGGCACUCUGUUGACCCCACUCUGCUCAAAACCACUGCAGUUUACGGCUGGGGGUAGUGAGGGGUGAUAGGUAAGGACACCGUGAGCAGGAGCAAGUGAUGCUGGUGCUAGCACUGCCUGUGCCCCAGAGGCCAGUCCUCUCUGCUUAGAGGUGGCUUCUUUGGUGCCCCUGAAGGCCCAUCCUGUGGAGCUCUGGCCCAGGCCUGGGCUGUGUGUGGCAGCAGCCACGGAAAGGUUUUCUUGAAGGAUUUACCCCCGUGGAGCCUUGAAGUCUGAGGAUGAACUGGAGGACGAAGGUAAACAGGCAGGGAAGGGAGAGGGGUUAGCACCAGCUCGAGGGGAAUUUGCAAGGGAGAUGGGCACUGUCUGAGGCGUCUGUACCUGGAGGACAGAGAACAGGCACUACCUAUCACCUUGGCUCACCUUUCCUUUAGAGGCACACCUUGUCACCCUGCACACUCCCGGGGUGCAGAAGCAGGGAGUGCAGCACCCUUGCUGAGCUCUGACUCACAGGCUCUGGCUUUGGAGCAGAGCUAGAGUCAAGGGAAGGAAAGCAGGUUACAGGGGAAGGCCUGAGAGGAAUUCCAGGACAGACACAAGCUGCAGAGGCCCAGGUGGCUCAGAGAGGGAGCAAGCAGUGAGGUAAGCCAUCCUGCCCAGAGCACAGAAGAUGGAGCUGAGAGCACAGACAUGUGGCUAAGUCCAGCUUCAAUGACCAUGGCAACAGCUCCUCUGGGACCUUUGCACCCCACUUCUGAAGGCCCCACGCCAUUCCACCCAUGGGACACCUUGAGGACUCCCAACCCUGCGAGAAACAGGAGAGGUCAGUUGGUACCCUCACUUUGCAUGCCCAUGAAGGAGUCAGGCAUCCAGGCAUCAUGCUUUCAGGGCAGAUUUAAUAAAGAAUGCAAAAAGGUCCUGGUGAGCUACUCAGAUCCCAGGUGCCACCUGUUUUGGCAGCUACGGGACUGUCCCCCCUGACACCUGCCAUACCCUACUCAGUCAGAGCAGCAUCCAGCUCCAGAGCAGGGCUCGGGCUCCCGACAGGGGGUGUCAGGACUGCUCUCUCCAGCUGGCACCAGACCUCCUGGCACCACUGAGGCCCAGGGCCAAGCUGCAGAGGCUCUGGUUCCUCCCGAGGCAAGCUGAGCAGCAGCACAGAACUCUCCCCACUCCUUUACUUUGGUGCUCUGGCACCUUUUGCCCCAGCAGUCAGGCUUCCCAGGGUUGAAAAAAACUCCUCCAUUUCCUUCUGCAGCAGCUGGUUCCUCUUCUCUGCGUCCUCCCGUGCCCGCUCCGAGUUCCUCAGCUUUAUUUCCAGCAUUGUGUACUUUUUCUUUUCCUGGUCUAGUUGUUCUUCUAGCUGUAACAUUCGUUUCCUCAGGUCGGCACUACCUUCUUCGAGUCUUAAAAUUCAAGAAGAAAGACAUCAUUUUAGACUUGGGCCUGCUGGGUUUGCCAAGAAAACUCCAUUGUCAGCAGACACUUGAUGGGGCGAAGGAGCUGACGACCCACUCCUGUGAGACAUGAGGGACUUGCUGCGCCUGGCUCCUAGGAACUGACCUGACUACAAGACACAUGACUGUGGGCAGGACUCAAACUUCACUGAGCCCUGGUGUCUCACCCUGAAAAUGCAGGGGACGGCCUUCCACCUAUGCACUGUAGCUACGAUGGACCAAGGAGACCACGUGUGCACAGCAUACCACCUGGCACAUGGUGUACCUGAAGCAAAUAUCCAUUCCCUGCCCCAUCCAGGAUGAGGCCUGGGCCUUCACCCUCAACCACUGAACACAGAGCAUGGAGAAGGGCUAAAGUCUGGAAGAAGAGAAGGAUGCCCACUUUCACUACUUCGAUAUAGUACUGCAAGUCCUAGACACAGCAAUCAGCCAAGGAAAAGAAAUAAAAGGUAUUCAAAUUGGUAGAGAGGAGGUAAAGUUAUUAUUUGCAGAUGACAUGAUACUAUAUAUAGAAAACCCUAGGGCCUCCCUAGUGGCGCAGUGGUUGAGAGUCCGCCUGCCGAUGCAGAGGACACAGGUUCAUGCCCCGGUCCGGGAAAAUCCCACAUGCCGCAGAGCGGCUGGGCCUGUGAGCCAUGGCCGCUGAGCCUGCGUGUCCAGAGCCUGUGCUCCGCAACGGGAGAGGCCACAACAGUGAGAGGCUCGCGUACUGCAAAAAGAAAAAAAAAAAAAAAACCCUAAAGACUCCACACAAAAACUACUAGAACUGAUAAACGAAUUCAGCAAGGUAGCAGGAUACAAGAUUAACAUAUAGAAAUUGGUUGCAUUUCUUUAUACUAACAAUGAAACAAACAAUCCCCUUUAAAAUUGCAUCCAAAAAAACAAAACAAAAAACCUUACGAAUAAAUCUCACCAAGGCGGUGAAAGACUUAUAUGCUGAGAACUACAAAACAUUAAUAAUAAAGGAAAUUGAAGGUGAUUCAAAGAAAUGGAAGGAUAUCCCAUGCUCUUGGAUUGGAAGAAUAUUGUUAAAAUGGUCAUACUACCCAAAGCAAUCUACAGAUUUGAUGCAAUCCCUGUCAAAUUACCCAUGACAUUUUUCACAGAACUAGAACAAAUAAUCCUAAAAUUUAUAUGGAACUGUGAAAGGCCCAGAAUUGCCAAAGCAAUCCUGAGGAAAAAAAACAAAGCAGGAGGCAUAGCACUCCCAGACUUAAGGCAAUAUUACAAAGCUAGAGUAAUCAAAAUAGCAUGGUAUUGGCACAAAAACAGACAUAUGAAUCAAUGGAACAGAAUAAAGAGCCCGGAAGUAAACCCACACACCUAUGGUCAAAUAACCCUCGACAGAGGAGGCAAGAAUAUACGAUGGGGAAAAGACAGUUUCUUUAGCAAGUGGUGUUGGGAAAGUUGGACAGCCUCAUGCAAAUCAGUGAAGUUAGAACACACUCUCACACUAUACACAAAAAUAAACUCAAAAUGGAUUAAAGACCUAAGACGUGACACCAUAAAUAAAACUCCUAGAAGAGAACAUAGGCAAAACGUUCUCUGACAUAAGUCAUGACAAUGUUUUCUUAGGUCAGUCUCCCAGGCAACAGAAAUAAAAGCAAAAAUAAACAAAUGCGACCUAAUCAAACUUAUAAGCUUUUGCACAGCAAAGGGAACCACAAACAAAACGGAAAGACAACCUAUGGAAUGGGAGAAAAUACUUGCAAAUGAUGAGACCGACAAGGGCUUAAUUUCCAAAACAGCUCAUACAAUUCAGUAACAACAAAGCAAACAACCCAGUUGAAAAAUGGGCAGAAGACCUAAAUAGACAUUUCUCCAAAGACGACAUACAGAUGGCCAAUAGGCACAUGAAAAGAUAAUCAUCACUAAUUCUUAGAAAUGCAAAUCAAAAGUACAAUGAGGUAGCACCUCACACUGGUCAGAAUGGCCAUCACUAAAAAGUCUAAAAAUAACAUGUUGAAGAGGGUGUGGAGAAAAGGGAACCCUCUAACACUGUUGGUGGGAAUGUUAAGUUGGUGCAGCCACCAUGGAGAACAGUAUGGAGGUUCCUCAAAAAACUAAAAAUAGAGUUGCCAUAUGAUCCAGCAAUCCCACUCCUGGGCAUAUAGCCAGACAAAACUCUAAUUCAAAAAGAUACAUGUACCCCUAUGUUCAUAGCAGCACUAUUUACAAUAGCCAAGACAUGGAAACAACCUAAAUGUCCAUCAACAGAUGAAUGAAUAAAGAAGAUGUGGUACAUACAUACAAUGGAAUAUUACUCAGCCAUAAAAAAGAAUGAAAUCAUGCUAUUUGCAGCAAUAUGGAUGGACCUAGAGAUUAUCAUACUAAGUGAAGCAAAUCAGAGAAAGAAAAAUAUCAUAUGAUAUCACUUAUAUGUGGAAUCUAAAAUAUGACACAAAUGAACUUAUCUAUGAAACAGACUCAUAGACAGAGAACGGACUUGUGGUUGCCAAGGGGGAGGGGUGGCAGUGGGGAGAGGGAUGGAUUCGGAGUUCAGGAUUAGCAGAUGCAAACUAUUAUAUAUAUAGGAUGGGUAGACAACGAGGUUCUAUUGUAUAGCACAGGGAACUAUAGUCAAUAUCCUGGGAUAAACCAUAAUGGAAAAUAAUAUGAAAAAGAAUAUAUGUAUAACUGAAUCACUUUGCUGUACAGAAGAGAUUAGCACAAUGUUGUAAACUAACUAUACUUCAAUUAAAAAAAAAAAAGCAUGGAGAAGGGAGAAAGCCUUCCUUCACCCCAUCCUCCCAUCUGGAGAGCACAGUGCAUAAUGUCAGAAGACCCUCCCCAAGGCAGGGGCAGCAGGCCCCCCAUGAGCCCCCUUCACUGCUUCUCCUCCCGUCCAGGGCCCUCCUUUGCCAGGUCCUCCCUGCCCCUUGGUGCUCCUGAGCACAGCCUCCACACCACUCCUUGAGGGACCUUGUCCAGCCUCAGACUUGAAGCACUUAGAGCACUCAGUGUGCUGACAACCCUCAAUCUUUAUCUCCCUCAAGUCCACUCAGAAACUUAAUAAGUAUCUCCAGCCUAACAGACCCACAGCUGAGCUCCUGCCCUCUUUCCCCAAGUCACGCUCCUAUAGCCCCAGUCUCCCCGGCUCAGUGACCACCUUCUUCCAGAUACUCGGCCAAAACAAAAAUGGUGUGUCUCAAGUCAGUUCUUUUUCUCACCACCACACCUGAUCACCUGGAAAAACCCAAACACAUUCAGAAUCUGGCUGCUUCUCCCACCUUGUCUGCUGCCCCGUAGGUCCGUGCCAGCCACAGGUCUGACCUGGAUGGCCAUGGCCUCCUAACUGGUCUUUGUCUGCCUCGUCAAGCGCUCCUGAGCACAGCAGUCAGUGCACCUCAUCAAAGUGACCCAAGUCCUCCAGGUCUUCCAGCAGCUUCACAUCUCACUGGCAAUAAAGUCAAAGCAUCACUCCUGCCAAAACGCCUUGCCGCCUGCCCCACCCCGACUCCGCCACGCUUUCAGAGCUUGCCCACACUCUGCCAGUACACAGUGGGGCAGGAACUCGAACCCAUAGCCUGCCAGGCAACAAUACUGCAUUUCCCCUGAGAACCCCAGCCUCCAAGGUGAAAGAUCUAGAAGCUCAAGUCAGCUCCACGAACAGCCGAGAAAGUGAGAUGUUGAUUCUGACCCCCUCUGAGGCUGCCCUCAGACAGUGUCUGCCGAGUAACCCUUCCUGUACACUCUGAGCUCAUCUUCAGCAGUAAUCACCUUCCGGUGAAUCUGCAGGGAGCUCCUGGUAUUUAUUACCUCUGCCUGGUAAAUUCCAACCCAGUGCUUACAUUGUGGGUUUUCUCCACAAUUUUAAACUCCGGAGUUUUACUCACACUGUGUCCUUUCUCCUCCUUGCUCAGCUCAGUCCUAUCGGUCCUUCAAGUCCUGGCUCUGACAUUGCCUGCUGUGACUUCCCCCAUGGAGGGGCUGCUGCCCUCACGGCCCCUUUCCUGCCAUCUUCCUGCCGUGAACACAGAGACUGCACACACCUGACACUCCCCAGGUGCCCAGGAGACAGCUGCCAGCAGAACAAGAGGGUCAAAUGCUACCAUUCAAGCUCCCUGUGGGAAUCCCAGGCUCAGAAAUAGAAGCAUGAAUCCCUUCCACCUCCACUGUCUGAUGGAAAGAGGAAGCACUCAGAACUCAAUGAAGCCCCCUGCUAGUGGGUGGGACAUGGGUUCAUAGGUCUGAUGCGUGCAAGGCCUUGGGCAAAAGGAGCUAAGGGGUCUGAGAUACUGAUGGAAGCACCGCUCACUGUCCAGGGUAGGCUUUGCUGGUGAUUUUAAUUGGGGAACUCGGCCUCAGAGCUGGAAAAUGCCCUCUGCACAGGGAGGCUGGAACCAGGGCCCAUCAGUGAACAAGCCUGCAAGCCUUAAAGGGUGGCACGAAGGACUUCCCUGGUGGCACAGUGAUUAAGAAUCCGCCUGCUAAUGGAGGGGACACGGGUUCGAGCCCUGGUCUGGGAAGAUCCCACAUGCCGCGGAGCAACUAAUCCCAUGUGCCACAACUACUGGGCCUGCGCUCUAGAGCCGGCGAAGCCACAACUACUGAAGCCUGUGCACCUAGAGCCUGUGCUCCGCAACAAAAGAAGCCACCACAAUGAGAAGCCUGCGGACCACAAUGAAGAGUAGCCCCUGCUCACGGCAACUAGAGAAAGCCUGUGGGUAGCAUCGAAGACCCAACACAGACAAAAAUAAAUAAAUAAAUUUAUAUAUUUUUAAAAAAGGUGGCACGAGGUGUCCUCUGUGACCCAGCGGAAGGGAGGGCUUGGCUCGACAAGGCCAGCUCCCUCCUCAGAGAAAAUCGGAUUUCGAUCCAGAAGAAGUCCUCACUCUACAUCAGGUCCAACCAUGGGCAGUCAACCAGGCUGGCCUGGGGCCUGCAGUGCACGCGUGCCCUGCCCCAGUCCCAGUGCUACAGGACAUACCUUGGGGGCCUGCC